AAAAUGCACCUGCAUUUUUUUCACUCUUGGAAAAAGUCAGGAAUACGUUAUUUCAGGAGCUUCAGGACUUUCUACCAGCUCGUGGAUGUGCACGAGCGUCAUGUGCACCGCCGGGUCAGUGCUCCGUACAGAGAGGAGACGGCACACUUCACCCUCAACUCUUUA
Molecule: long non-coding RNA, 165 nt
Organism: Thalassophryne amazonica
Lineage: Eukaryota; Metazoa; Chordata; Actinopteri; Batrachoidiformes; Batrachoididae
Exons: 3
Source: RefSeq, a predicted model, not a curated record